Molecule: ribosomal RNA, 253 nt
Filed under: uncultured bacterium
Lineage: Bacteria
Description: partial 16S ribosomal RNA
Rfam family: Bacterial small subunit ribosomal RNA
Source: RNAcentral
UACGGAGGGUGCAAGCGUUAUCCGGAUUCACUGGGUUUAAAGGGUGCGUAGGUGGGUAGGUAAGUCAGCGGUGAAAUCCCCGAGCUUAACUUGGGAACUGCCAUUGAUACUAUCUGUCUUGAAUACCUUGGAGGUGAGCGGAAUAUGUCAUGUAGCGGUGAAAUGCUCAGAUAUGACAUAGAACACCAAUUGCGAAGGCAGCUGGCUACACAAAUAUUGACACUGAGGCACGAAAGCGUGGGGAUCAAACAGG